UCUCCGUUGGUGAACCAGCGGAGGGAUCAUUGCUGGAAGCGUCUCACGGCGCACCCAGAAACCCUAUGUGAACCUAUACCACUCUGUUGCCUCGGCGCGAGCCGGGGGCUUCUAUAAGCCCCCCCUCAUCUCGGUGAGGAGCAGGCCCGCCGGCGGCCCUACAAACUCUUGUUUUUAACGUAUCUCUUCUGAGUACAAAUUAUAAAUGAAUCAAAACUUUCAACAACGGAUCUCUUGGUUCUGGCAUCGAUGAAGAACGCAGC
RNAcentral lists this unclassified non-coding RNA (263 nucleotides) under uncultured fungus. RNAcentral describes it as "sequence contains ITS1, 5.8S rRNA gene". The stretch from base 215 to 263 matches the Rfam family "5.8S ribosomal RNA", at positions 1 to 49 of the family's 154-position model. Lineage: Eukaryota; Fungi. The record is from RNAcentral.